GGACAAAAGGACCAAGAACCUUUCUAGCUAACACUCUGACAAUCGUCAUAAAUACACCUGAUAUAUUCAAGGUGUGACUCUGGGGCUAAAGCUGCAUAAUAAUACCAUUAUUUCCUCUAAGGUAUUUUUCCUUUUCGAGCCCACCUGGCUCGGGGAUAGGUUAUAAUGCGUUGGAUUCAACCCCACGGAGAUUUAUCAUGAUAGAGGGAGCGGAGAGUUUGGCGUGUUCAAGAUCAGAGCCUCUCAGAUCAUAUCCUUCCUUCAUCCCGCAAAUUCAUGGACCCAGCAGACUGGUCUGGUGCCGCGUUGGCUCAACAAGGUAUCAGCAAGCCAAUAAUGG
This 340-nucleotide small RNA is filed under the name Histoplasma capsulatum var. duboisii H88. RNAcentral's name for it is "Histoplasma capsulatum H88 hypothetical RNA". The record is from RNAcentral. Lineage: Eukaryota; Fungi; Ascomycota; Eurotiomycetes; Onygenales; Ajellomycetaceae.